This 1525-nucleotide ribosomal RNA is filed under the name Klebsiella pneumoniae. RNAcentral describes it as "bacterial SSU rRNA". It matches the Rfam family "Bacterial small subunit ribosomal RNA". The record is from RNAcentral. Lineage: Bacteria; Pseudomonadati; Pseudomonadota; Gammaproteobacteria; Enterobacterales; Enterobacteriaceae.
AAAUUGAAGAGUUUGAUCAUGGCUCAGAUUGAACGCUGGCGGCAGGCCUAACACAUGCAAGUCGAGCGGUAGCACAGAGAGCUUGCUCUCGGGUGACGAGCGGCGGACGGGUGAGUAAUGUCUGGGAAACUGCCUGAUGGAGGGGGAUAACUACUGGAAACGGUAGCUAAUACCGCAUAAUGUCGCAAGACCAAAGUGGGGGACCUUCGGGCCUCAUGCCAUCAGAUGUGCCCAGAUGGGAUUAGCUAGUAGGUGGGGUAACGGCUCACCUAGGCGACGAUCCCUAGCUGGUCUGAGAGGAUGACCAGCCACACUGGAACUGAGACACGGUCCAGACUCCUACGGGAGGCAGCAGUGGGGAAUAUUGCACAAUGGGCGCAAGCCUGAUGCAGCCAUGCCGCGUGUGUGAAGAAGGCCUUCGGGUUGUAAAGCACUUUCAGCGGGGAGGAAGGCGUUAAGGUUAAUAACCUUGGCGAUUGACGUUACCCGCAGAAGAAGCACCGGCUAACUCCGUGCCAGCAGCCGCGGUAAUACGGAGGGUGCAAGCGUUAAUCGGAAUUACUGGGCGUAAAGCGCACGCAGGCGGUCUGUCAAGUCGGAUGUGAAAUCCCCGGGCUCAACCUGGGAACUGCAUUCGAAACUGGCAGGCUAGAGUCUUGUAGAGGGGGGUAGAAUUCCAGGUGUAGCGGUGAAAUGCGUAGAGAUCUGGAGGAAUACCGGUGGCGAAGGCGGCCCCCUGGACAAAGACUGACGCUCAGGUGCGAAAGCGUGGGGAGCAAACAGGAUUAGAUACCCUGGUAGUCCACGCCGUAAACGAUGUCGAUUUGGAGGUUGUGCCCUUGAGGCGUGGCUUCCGGAGCUAACGCGUUAAAUCGACCGCCUGGGGAGUACGGCCGCAAGGUUAAAACUCAAAUGAAUUGACGGGGGCCCGCACAAGCGGUGGAGCAUGUGGUUUAAUUCGAUGCAACGCGAAGAACCUUACCUGGUCUUGACAUCCACAGAACUUUCCAGAGAUGGAUUGGUGCCUUCGGGAACUGUGAGACAGGUGCUGCAUGGCUGUCGUCAGCUCGUGUUGUGAAAUGUUGGGUUAAGUCCCGCAACGAGCGCAACCCUUAUCCUUUGUUGCCAGCGGUUAGGCCGGGAACUCAAAGGAGACUGCCAGUGAUAAACUGGAGGAAGGUGGGGAUGACGUCAAGUCAUCAUGGCCCUUACGACCAGGGCUACACACGUGCUACAAUGGCAUAUACAAAGAGAAGCGACCUCGCGAGAGCAAGCGGACCUCAUAAAGUAUGUCGUAGUCCGGAUUGGAGUCUGCAACUCGACUCCAUGAAGUCGGAAUCGCUAGUAAUCGUAGAUCAGAAUGCUACGGUGAAUACGUUCCCGGGCCUUGUACACACCGCCCGUCACACCAUGGGAGUGGGUUGCAAAAGAAGUAGGUAGCUUAACCUUCGGGAGGGCGCUUACCACUUUGUGAUUCAUGACUGGGGUGAAGUCGUAACAAGGUAACCGUAGGGGAACCUGCGGU